GGAGUUAGCCGGUGCUUCUUCUGUGAGUGAUGUCCUUCCUGCCGGCUAUUAACCCGCAGGCCUUCUUCCUCACUGAAAGUGCUUUACAACCCGAAGGCCUUCUUCACACACGCGGCAUGGCUGGAUCAGGGUUGCCCCCAUUGUCCAAUAUUCCCCACUGCUGCCUCCCGUAGGAGUCUGGGCCGUGUCUCAGUCCCAGUGUGGCUGAUCAUCCUCUCAGACCAGCUACGGAUCGUCGCCUUGGUGAGCCGUUACCUCACCAACCAGCUAAUCCGACAUAGGCUCAUCCGAUAGCGCGAGGCCCGAAGGUCCCCCGCUUUCCCCCGUAGGGCGUAUGCGGUAUUAGCCUGGGUUUCCCCCAGGUUAUCCCCCACUACCCGGGCAGAUUCCUAUGCAUUACUCACCCGUCCGCCGCUCGCCACCAGGGAGCAAGCUCCCCGUGCUGCCGCUCGACUUGCAUGUGUUAGGCCUGCCGCCAGCGUUCAAUCUGAGCCAGAUCAAACUCUGA
This 508-nucleotide ribosomal RNA is filed under the name uncultured bacterium. Its description in RNAcentral is "partial 16S ribosomal RNA". The record is from RNAcentral.